RNAcentral lists this ribosomal RNA (501 nucleotides) under uncultured bacterium. Its description in RNAcentral is "bacterial SSU rRNA". It matches the Rfam family "Bacterial small subunit ribosomal RNA", at positions 62 to 543 of the family's 1533-position model. The record is from RNAcentral.
UCGCACGCGAAAAGGGGCAACCCUGAGUAAAGUGGCGCACGGGUGCGUAACACGUAGAUAACCUGCCCUUCGAAGGGGGAUAACGUCCCGAAAGGGACGCUAAUACCGCAUACAGCUAAGUCUAGUUUGCUGGACUUGGGCAAAGGUAGGGACCGGCAACGGCCUAUCGUCGAAGGAGGGGUCUGCGGCCCAUCAGCUAGUUGGUGAGGUAAUGGCUCACCAAGGCAGAGACGGGUAGCUGGUCUGAGAGGAUGAUCAGCCACACUGGUACUGGAACACGGACCAGACUCCUACGGGAGGCAGCAGUGGGGAAUCUUGGUCAAUGGGCGCAAGCCUGAACCAGCGAUGCCGCGUGAGUGAUGAAGGCCUUCGGGUUGUAAAGCUCUGUGGGGAGGGACGAAAGAAUCGGUUCUAACAGGACCGAAGUUGACGGUACCUCCUUAGCAAGCACCGGCUAACUCUGUGCCAGCAGCCGCGGUAAGACAGAGGGUGCAAACGUUG